Non-coding RNA from Bacillus atrophaeus 1942, 115 nucleotides. The record is from Rfam. NCBI's taxonomy places the organism in Bacteria, Bacillati, Bacillota, Bacilli, Caryophanales, Bacillaceae.
UACCUUUUUAAAUGCAAUCCAGUGAGUUUGCAAAGAGGUUUAAACAAAGCCGAACGACGAAUGCGGCCGGCUUUGUAUACCUCUUUGCGCAAAAAAAGCAAAGAGGUUUUUUAAU